GACGAACGCUGGCGGCGUGCUUAACACAUGCAAGUCGAACGGAAAGGCCCUGCUUUUGUGGGGUGCUCGAGUGGCGCACGGGUGAGUAACACGUGAGUAACCUGCCCUUGAAUUUGGGGUAACUUCUGGAAACUGGGGCUAAUACCGGAUAGGAUCUCCUGCUGCAUGGUGGGGGUUGGAAAGUUUCGGCGGUUGGGGAUGGACUCGCGGCUUAUCAGCUUGUUGGUGGGGUAGUGGCUUACCAAGGCUUUGACGGGUAGCCGGCCUGAGAGGGUGACCGGCCACAAUGGGACUGAGGUACGGCCCAGACUCCUACGGGAGGCAGCAGUGGGGAAUAUUGCACAAUGGGCGGAAGUCUGAUGCAGCAACGCCGCGUGCGGGAUGCCGGCCUUCGGGUUGUAAACCGCUGUCGCCGGUGACGAAGCGGGAGUGACGGUAAUGGGUAAAGAAGCACCGGCUAACUACGUG
This 468-nucleotide ribosomal RNA is filed under the name uncultured bacterium. RNAcentral's name for it is "partial 16S ribosomal RNA". It matches the Rfam family "Bacterial small subunit ribosomal RNA", at positions 28 to 507 of the family's 1533-position model. The record is from RNAcentral.